GGUGGUGUCGGUGGUGUCGGUGCUGCAUUUGUAUUCGUAUUAAUUAUAGCCCUGGCAACUCACAAAAGUAUCUCAUUUUCCAAAUUACAUACGCUGCUAAACAAAAAGCGAGCCCAGCAAUGCGAUCCAACUCCAUUCCCAUUCCCAUUUCCAUCCCCCAGUGACGGAUCCGAUGCCGAUGCCGAUGCUGAUGCCAAUUCCAAUUCCAUUUUCAUUUCCAAUUCAACUUCAACUGCCAUUUAAGUUAAAUAUUUUGUCUGUUUGCUGUUGCUGCAUUUAAAUUGGCGCAUUAGUUGGCUAAAUGCAUUUCCCUGAAGCCGCAAUGAGAACGAGACGAGCGUCCAUGACGGAUGCCAGACACUGCCAGAAAUGUGCGAAUACUCGUAGAUAGCAAUUCAAACGGGUUUGAAUUUCAGAUUUUAGAAUGGAAUGGGAAUGUUUUUGGCCGCGUUAUCUUAAUUAGGCCAUAAUGAACUGAAUAAAUAAUCAUAAUCUCGCUUUCUUUAGAUUCCAGUUAUCCAAGGUUAUGCUUGAUUUCCAUUCGAUUUCGUA
Drosophila pseudoobscura is the source of this 552-nucleotide long non-coding RNA. RefSeq lists it as uncharacterized. The record is from RefSeq and is a predicted model, not a curated record. NCBI's taxonomy places the organism in Eukaryota, Metazoa, Arthropoda, Insecta, Diptera, Drosophilidae. The transcript is spliced from 2 exons.